This 73-nucleotide transfer RNA is filed under the name Ixodes scapularis (black-legged tick). RNAcentral's name for it is "tRNA-Ser". The record is from RNAcentral. Lineage: Eukaryota; Metazoa; Arthropoda; Arachnida; Ixodida; Ixodidae.
CCCUGGUUAGCUGACUUGGUAUAGCGCUCCACAGGAAAGGGAGAGGUCCCUGGUUCAAUACCAGGACCAGGCG